Molecule: long non-coding RNA, 968 nt
Organism: Ruditapes philippinarum (Manila clam)
Lineage: Eukaryota; Metazoa; Mollusca; Bivalvia; Venerida; Veneridae
Exons: 4
Source: RefSeq, a predicted model, not a curated record
AACAAGAUAUUUUUAAACUUUAAUUGAUACAGUCUUUGUAUUGCUUACCAAUUUUAAUAUUUUUAAGAAACAUAUCUGAGGUUGUUUUACGUUUGUGUGGAGUGCCGUCACUAGGUAUAAAGUCAAGGUCUAUCAUUAUACCCCCACAAACGAAGACUAAGGGGUAUAAACGAGUUAGCUUGCGAUCGGUUGGUCUGUCCUUUUUUUGGUCCACGUCAUGGUUUCCGGACAUAAACUAGAGUUAGGAAUGAGAUAUUGUAAUCAAACCUGGUGUAUAGCAAGCUUAUAUGAAGACCGCGGUUGGGAUUGCAAUUAAUUGAAAUAAUUCUUUGUACACAGUUGAUACAUCAUUUACUAUAGGUUGAGUUUAAAUGUUUCUUCAGGCAACUUAUUUUUCAAAAAGUCAAAGUUGCUGGUGGGGGGUAUUAAAUUACUAAUCACCUUCAGUGAUAGGUCUAGUUUAUAUAUAUUUGAUUAUGUUUACAUUUGUUAUGUUUUUCAUCUUCAUCAAACAGCAAUGACAUGUCAAAUGAUAUUUUUCACAAUAAUAAAACAUCGUGAUUCUGUCAAGUUAUAUAACGGUGUUAACAAAUUCUAUCGAUAACAAAGAGAAUGGGUUAACCUUUCUUGAAAAAUUGUAACUGACAAGAAUCUUGGCCGUGGGUACUUGUGUUUACCAAGCACGUUGUAGGUAUGACUUUAUUUUAACGUUCAUGUUUUAAUUUCAGGUAACAAAACAAAGUCACGAGAUCAAAGAGACCAAAGGAUUCCUUUAGUUGAGACUGACAGUGGAGAAAAAAAACUUGAAACGAAACUACAAGGAACGUCUCUUACAGUUAGAGAUGUUGGUCGCAAAGUAAUGGAUAGAAAUGUUAGUUUUCUGAAAGAGAAUAUGGAACCUAACUUGCUAAAAGAUAAACUGCGAGAGAAACGUGUGUUUGAUGAAAUGGACUUAAAAGAUUUAGAGG